This 497-nucleotide ribosomal RNA is filed under the name uncultured bacterium. RNAcentral's name for it is "partial 16S ribosomal RNA". It matches the Rfam family "Bacterial small subunit ribosomal RNA", at positions 28 to 507 of the family's 1533-position model. The record is from RNAcentral.
GAUGAACGCUGGCGGCGUGCCUAAUACAUGCAAGUCGAGCGAACAGACGAGGAGCUUGCUCCUCUGACGUUAGCGGCGGACGGGUGAGUAACACGUGGAUAACCUACCUAUAAGACUGGGAUAACUUCGGGAAACCGGAGCUAAUACCGGAUAAUAUAUUGAACCGCAUGGUUCAAUAGUGAAAGACGGUUUUGCUGUCACUUAUAGAUGGAUCCGCGCCGCAUUAGCUAGUUGGUAAGGUAACGGCUUACCAAGGCAACGAUGCGUAGCCGACCUGAGAGGGUGAUCGGCCACACUGGAACGGAGACACGGUCCAGACUCCUACGGGAGGCAGCAGUAGGGAAUCUUCCGCAAUGGGCGAAAGCGUGACGGAGCAACGCCGCGUGAGUGAUGAAGGUCUUCCGAUCGUAAAACUCUGUUAUGAGGGAAGAACAAAUGUGUAAGUAACUAUGCACUUCGUGACGGUACCUAAUCAGAAAGCCACGGCUAACUACGUG